This 89-nucleotide transfer RNA is filed under the name Candidatus Woesearchaeota archaeon. RNAcentral describes it as "tRNA-Lys". It matches the Rfam family "tRNA". From Rfam's summary of the family: Transfer RNA (tRNA) molecules are approximately 80 nucleotides in length. Their secondary structure includes four short double-helical elements and three loops (D, anti-codon, and T loops). Further hydrogen bonds mediate the characteristic L-shaped molecular structure. tRNAs have two regions of fundamental functional importance: the anti-codon, which is responsible for specific mRNA codon recognition, and the 3' end, to which the tRNAs corresponding amino acid is attached (by aminoacyl-tRNA synthetases). tRNAs cope with the degeneracy of the genetic code in two manners: having more than one tRNA (with a specific anti-codon) for a particular amino acid; and 'wobble' base-pairing, i.e. permitting non-standard base-pairing at the 3rd anti-codon position. The record is from RNAcentral. Lineage: Archaea; Nanobdellati; Candidatus Woesearchaeota.
GGGGCGGUAGCUCAACCUGGCAGAGCAUCGGACUUUUAAUCCGACGGUUGCGGGUUCGAAAUCGAAAGACGAACAUCCCGUCCGCCCCG